Molecule: long non-coding RNA, 281 nt
Organism: Bos taurus (domestic cattle)
Lineage: Eukaryota; Metazoa; Chordata; Mammalia; Artiodactyla; Bovidae
Source: Ensembl
AGGAAAUGGCAACCCACUCCAGUGUUCUUGCCUGAAGAAUCCCAGGGACGGGGGAGCCUGAUGGGCUGCCGUCUAUGUGGUCUCACAGAGUCGGACACGACUGAAGCGACUUAGCAGCAGCAGCAGGCAUCCUCCUCCGGGGGGCACCUGCAGCCCUAGCGAGGCCGAAGCUGAAGGGUGCAACUGGUCUCUGCACUAUCUGCAGCCCUGCAACUACCCUGACCUGCAUGAUUCCACACCGAUUCCAGAGAACUACCAGGCUGCAGAGGCUGAAGGCACAG